CACCCCUCCUUUCCCAGGUUUCUGUUCUGAUAUCACCCUCUCAGUGGGGACUUCUGUGACCCACCUCCCAUUUAACACUCCAGCCGCACCCUCACUCCCUCCUCUGGUCCAUAUCACCUGCUCUGCAUGCUUCUCUCGAAUCUUUCUGCUUCCACUGUCUGGAUCCUGAUGAACCCAAAGUCCCAAGGGGAGAACAGAGUCAGAAGGUGGGCGCUAUGCUGGGCUGACCCUGUUUGAGUAGAGCUUACCCCUGGCUUCAUGUGGAAGUGCUGAGGUACUUUGCAGAUACACUUGUUGUGCCCGCACCCGUGUCCCAGAGAUUCCCAUUCACAUAGGUGGGGACUCGCCCUUGAUGAUACAGUGCCCAGCAUGAUUCUCAUCUAUAUCCAGCCCUGAGCACCAAGGCUCUGCGUCCUCUAUUUCUGAGGGCUGAGCUCAGCCUGGGAGCCACAGAGAGGGAAAGGGGGCUGGGCUCUGCAUGGCGGUUGAUCAGGGCUGGGUCUGCUCCCCACUGCUGCAGCGUGUGUGCGAGCUUCUCCAGGAGGGGAGAGGGUUCUGAAGAAAGGGGUCAGAAGACUCAUGUAUGGGUUUUCUUGUAGGAGUUUCUUGUCCCUGGGGCCACCCUGGUGCAGUGGGCAGCAGAGGACCAUCUUUCUCCCGGGAUUGAUUUCCAAAGAGUCAUGUUACUUGGCUUGGUGGAAGCCACCAAGAAGAGCAUAAGAAAG
Cercocebus atys (sooty mangabey) is the source of this 725-nucleotide long non-coding RNA. RefSeq lists it as uncharacterized. The record is from RefSeq and is a predicted model, not a curated record. NCBI's taxonomy places the organism in Eukaryota, Metazoa, Chordata, Mammalia, Primates, Cercopithecidae. The transcript has 3 exons.